This 830-nucleotide long non-coding RNA is filed under the name Gallus gallus (chicken). Lineage: Eukaryota; Metazoa; Chordata; Aves; Galliformes; Phasianidae. The record is from RNAcentral.
GGACUCUGUUGCACAAAUCCCGCAGAAUACGAAGCACAAUUACACAUGAUUUUAGUCCAUUUGCCCUGGCCUCCUUCCUUCUUCUCUGCUUCAUCUCGAAUGAGAGGGGACGUAAGUAUCACCUUCAAGGUUAGCUUGGGCUCCUUUGUGUUACGAAUAAUAAUAGCUGCCUCAUUUACAUGCUCCUCCACGAGAUACUUCUCUUCUGUAAGUUUCUGAAUUUGAAUGGGGAGAUUGUCUUUGACUAUACAUAGUAAGGUCUUUGUGGGUUUUUCUUUGCACAUGAGAACCAGCUCCAAAUCCAUAUCAUCUUUUAUCAGCAAACCCUUUGCAACCAAGCCAAUUCUCAUAACACCACACAAGGUCCGACCACUUUGAUCCUUGGCAUUGCUUUCUGCAGCUUCCUCUUUUGCUUCCACAUCACCCUCACAUUUUACAGACUUGUUCUUUUCAUCCAUCCAGUCAGACACAUGUUUAAGGGCACAUUCUACUGUUGAUACCAUGUUCUGGACAGCUUCAAGUUCUUCUGGAGAUGGAUAAAUGGUUGAAUGUUUCACCAUAACAUGGCGGUCAUCGUUAGCAAAAGAUCGGAUAGAUCUCAUGAUUUGUUACUGUUUCAACUCUCUCUUUCUUUCUCCUUUUCCCUCCUCCUUGGUGUCUUUGAUAAGAGCUGUUUUGCUUGACAGAACCUCUUCAUAAGCCUCUCAGUCCCUUGACAGCUCAAGAGUUCAUAGAGCUAAGAUGCUGUAAGAGUCACUUUCUGUAGUUCACCCCGCUCGCCGCCGGCCCCGGCGCAGCCCCGGCCCCGGCCCGGCUCCGCGGCCCCGUCC